GGGGGGGAGAAGAGGACAAGACAAAGAGGAACAUACUUAAGGACAUGUUAGGCAGCUGUCAUAUCAAGUUUCUGAGCUGCAGAGAAAAUGCCAUAAUAUGGGUCACACUUCAAAUAAUACCUUAUUUAUCAGAAGUAUUUUUUUUUUGGUCUAAAUGUUAAGACAUAAAUAUUAUUUAAAUGGCUUGAAUCGGUCAAAAGGAAGAUAGAAAAAAGGCUGAGAUGAAACAACCAAAAGAAGACUUUAUUAAACUUCAUGUAGUUUGUUUACAUUUAACUAAUUUCUCUGCCAUAAUACGGGUCACACUCCAAAUACUACCUUAUUUAUCAGAAGUAUUAUUUAAAUGGCUUGAAUAGGUCAAAAGGAAGAUAGAAAAAAAGCUGAUAGAUGAAACAACCAAAAGAAGACUUUAUUAAACUUCAUGUAGUAAUUUGUCCAAAAAAAAGAAAAAAACUUCAUGUAGUUU
RNAcentral lists this long non-coding RNA (466 nucleotides) under Brassica napus (rape). RNAcentral's name for it is "long non-coding RNA (BNAP_LNC002587)". Lineage: Eukaryota; Viridiplantae; Streptophyta; Magnoliopsida; Brassicales; Brassicaceae. The record is from RNAcentral.